RNAcentral lists this ribosomal RNA (421 nucleotides) under uncultured bacterium. Its description in RNAcentral is "bacterial SSU rRNA". It matches the Rfam family "Bacterial small subunit ribosomal RNA", at positions 362 to 775 of the family's 1533-position model. The record is from RNAcentral.
UCUUCCACAAUGGGCGCAAGCCUGAUGGAGCAACGCCGCGUGUGUGAUGAAGGGUUUCGGCUCGUAAAACACUGUUGUAAGAGAAGAAUGACAUUGAGAGUAACUGUUCAAUGUGUGACGGUAUCUUACCAGAAAGGCACGGCUAAAUACGUGCCAGCAGCCGCGGUAAUACGUAUGUUCCAAGCGUUAUCCGGAUUUAUUGGGCGUAAAGCGAGCGCAGACGGUUAUUUAAGUCUGAAGUGAAAGCCCUCAGCUCAACUGAGGAAUUGCUUUGGAAACUGGAUAACUUGAGUGCAGUAGAGGAAAGUGGAACUCCAUGUGUAGCGGUGAAAUGCGUAGAUAUAUAGAAGAACACCAGUGGUGAAGGCGGCUUUCUGGACUGUAACUGACGUUGAGGCUCGAAAGUGUGGGUAGCAAACAG